Molecule: non-coding RNA, 1853 nt
Organism: Myodes glareolus (Bank vole)
Lineage: Eukaryota; Metazoa; Chordata; Mammalia; Rodentia; Cricetidae
Source: RefSeq, a predicted model, not a curated record
GAGGAGCAGAAGGAGGGAAACAUGAGCAAGGAAGUCUGGACCAUGAGGGUAUGAGUUGACACCAUAUAAACUAGCCUUAUAUGAAAACAAACAUGAGAUGGAAGAGUUUUUAAUACAGAAUGUGACGGAGCAGCUGCGAAAGAGCCAGAACAGACAAAGGAAAGGCGCGCCAGCUUCAACAAAGAAGUAUGUUACAGUACUGACCCAAUUCCUUCUUGCAGUGGAGUACGACCACCAGGAGAGCUGAAAUCCAUACUGAAGGAUUCCUUCCAGAUCAGUGGAGCUCUCCUAACACCCUGAUGUUCCUGCAUCUAUAACAGAGGACAAGGGCAGUACCUCCGCUAUUAAGGAGGAUAUUGAAAACUCUUUCUCCAGUUACACAAACAUACGGGAACAAUUUUUAUAUUCUAACUAUAUCUCCUCAGUGAAGAAGAAGGACCAAGCAGUUCUUAGGAAAUCGGUGAUGAACCUAAGUUCUCUGGGAGAGGCAAUGCCUGAAUACUCUGGAAAAAAUCAUGCUUGAUGUUCCUCAGAGAGGAUGAGGACUCCCAUGGUUGAAGAAAAGAAGGCAGACACCUUCAUGCACCUGACAAGCAUGGCAUUGUGCCCCUGUCUCCUUCCCACACUGACUUGACAUCAUCCUCACGUGCAAGUGACAGAAGUGACACUCUUCAGGCAUCUGAGAAAAUUACAAUUCACAACACCACUCUGGAUUACACACGUUCUUUAGGUCACGCUUUGGACCCUCCUCAGAAGGCUAGUGUACGUGUUCCUGCUGCAAACCCAGCCGACUACACCUGUAGUACAAUGAAUGCUCACUCCAAGUCUCUUCCACUUUGGGCAGCAACCAUGCCAAUUUUACUGCUAAAAUCUUCAAUAUGGUUUCUGAAAUUCUUGGCAUUGGUGAUGGCAUGGGUAUUUUACCUAAUUUGGCAAGUGCUGUGCAGUUAAAAUUACCAUGAGCUUAAGAAGGUAAGUUAGACAGUAGCAGUGGUUUAAAAUAGAUGAAGAUUUUUGUACUAGAAAUCCAGUUCUUCUUGGCUCUAAUAUGUAUGUUAAAUCAAUUUUGUGCUGUGUAUAGUACCCUUUAGGCAUUAUCUAAAACUAAAAAAAAAUGCUCAUCUUUUCCAAUCAUAUUGGAAAUACAUCACAUAAAAGUAACAAAAUCAGUUUAGUCCAACCAAACUGAUCAAGUAAAGUUGGUAGGUUCACAGUUGUUUCCAUUGCUGGAAUGAGGGAAUAAUUUCCACUCCUAAUGUGAAACUUAUGUUUUCUAAAUGGUUAAGCAGAGAAGUGUAACUGUUAAGUAUUAAUUUUUAUUUUUCUGUGUCCAUACACUGUGACUUACAUGGAUAGCAUUAUUUUAUAAACCAUCACCCCCCAAAGAAGCAACAUCUGAGAAUAAAACCAAUGUAAUAAGAACUAAGACUCCACAUUCUCACCCCUUCUCAAAUACAAAGAUAUUCAUUGUGACAUGACACUACAUAAGAUUCUACUGGUGAUGCCUCUGUUACUGCUCAUCCUAAUGAUGCCAACAAUGAUGUUUUUGAUGCAACUGAUAAUUCUUGCUUUUCUGUUUAGUUGCUUCUGAAGGACCUAUGAGGAGCUACUCACAUGAAGUGACAAUGUCGGGAAUAUUUUUCAAAAUAUAGAAAUUUUAAUGUUAAAUAUUUCUUUGAAAGUUGACACAGACUAUGUAGAAUGCUGUAUGUAAGUUUAUAAUAGUUUCCAUUAAAAUGUCUUAUGAAAAUAUUUUAAACUGUUUCUUGGUAUUGUACAAACUGAUGAUAUGACCUUUUGGUGACGUGUUUAAAGAGUGGCAUUAAGGAGAAAUAAAAGCACUUCCACUGGGA